AGCAAACCACACGGGAGAGGAGAGCAUUUGGAUUCCUUCUAUGAUUUCCACUAUUUGGUUGGCAACAUUGGAUGGGAAGUCAAAUUCUGAUGGAAAUCCAGUUUCUGUAAGCUAGAGGAAUUCGGUCUUCUCUCGCAAGAGUGAGGAAAUCUAAAUUCCACACAACCAAAAGACUUAAAUUCUCAAUUUUACCCUUGAUUAUAUUUUUUUAUUCCCAAUUCUACUCUUUCACAAAUAACCCUAAUUUGCAAAUUAUUCUAUGAUUUCACAACUCUCAUAACUCAAAAUCAAAUCAAAUCAUCUCAGAAACAAAAAUUAAAAUCUCUUUGAACUUCCGAUAGUGAGCCUCAUCUGUUAGCCGGUGAGCUAUGACAGCGGGUCUGUUUGCCAGAGCUAUCUUAGCAAGUAUCAACGCUUUAGCUUCAUGGUUUCUCACCCUAGGUACGAUUUUUCAUCUCUUUUCAUAUGUUUUAGUGUUGUCACUUUUAUCGUUUUGAUGGUAUUGUUAAUUUGUUAUUGUUAGUUGUUGUAAUUAUUCUUGUGUGGCUAUUGUGGUUAUUUAAUGAGUUUAGCUCAUGAGAUGAUGGAGAAUGAGUUUGAAGAGGGCUAUUUUAGAUUUUGUUGCUUUAAUUUGAACAAAUUUUGAAAUUUCAGAUGUUGCAUUUUGUUUGAUUAAGUUAUUAUGAGGCUUUGAUUAAGAUUUUGUUACUUUAUAUUGUGAAUGGAUGAAUUUAUAGAUAUAUGCCUACCAAGUGUUUGAUGAACUGUCUAAGAAAAAAAAUGUUAAUUUUGCCCCAGAAAUUAUGAUUGCAUCUAGAAGCAUAUUUCCAAUCCGUAGUUGACUUUACAUUAAGAAAAAAUUAUCCUAAUUAUUCGGCUAAGGUAUUUUUGUGGGUGGAUUUUUAGCAAAUAUAGCUUCCACCUUCAUGUGUAAACCACAAAAAAAAAAAUAUAUAUCUUAUUGGAUUGUACUUUAUUAAUGCGAUAACAAGGCACAAGAUGAAGUGUGACUAGUGAUUUUUUGAAGGAAAUGGAUGGCUAGUAAAAUUUACAAUUAUUCUUAGGAGCUAGUCCUUUCGAUUUUGGACUUGCUGCAAAUUAAUAGAAAUAAACAUCAUGUAAUGGUUGAGAAAUUGCAAUUAUUCCUUUGUUUGUGUUCAAAAAAUUUUAUAUAGAGCUUUCCAAGUUAAUUUCAAUUUUCAUUAGAUAGUUUGCUGCUUUGUAACCUGUUACUUUGCUGUUGUUGUUAUUUAAUUAAUUAAUUGCUACAAGAAACAUUUUGUGAGAUGUUUUUAUUUUGUAUAUGCUGAAGUUAAUGAAGAAGGUUCAGUAAAUUGUUUGAAGUUUCAAAAUAACAUGAAUUUAAUGUUCUGAUAAAUUAUCUUCUCCACAAUACUUAUUAUUAAUGUGUUUUUCUAAUCUAUCUGCUGUUGUUUGGUUUUACUGUUUGAUGUUGUUAUACUUGCUGGUUACUGCUGUUUUUGCUAUUAUUCUUGCUAGUUUUUACUUUUUUUGCUGUUUUUACUGUUAUACCUGUUGGUUACUACUUUUUUGUUGUUUUCAUUGUUUUACUUGUUGUUUUUAUUAUUAUACCUGUUGAUUACUACUCUUCUUUGCUGUUUUUGCUAUUCUACUUGUUGUUUUUUAUCGUUAUACUUGCUUAUUACUACUUUUUUUAUUCUUUUUACUAUUUUACUUGCUAUUUUUACUGUUAUACUUGCUUAUUGUUUUGGUGUUUUACUUGCUAUUUUUACCGUUAAACUUGUUGGUUACUACUUUUGUUAUUGUUUUACUUGCUGUCUUUACCAUUAUACUUGCCAGUUAUAACUUUUUUUUCUAUUUUUUUACUGUUUUAGCUGCUGUUUUACUUGCUAUUUUUGGUAUUUCAGCCAUCGUUUCACUUGUCAUUUGCUGUUUUUACUGUUUGCUGCUGUUAUGCUUGCUAUUUUUCUUGCUGGUUACUAUUGUUUUUACUAUUUUACUCGUUGUUCUUGCUUUUUUACAGCUGUUGUACUUAAUUGAAUGCAAUUAAGCUUGCUUAAUUGAGUGAAGAGUUGAAGAAGAUUAGUGGUCUUACAACGGUAGAACAACUUAAAGCCACCACCCAAAUUGCUUGUGAUAGUGUAGCGCUUAAUGUUUUCUAUAGUCUUUGUGAUGAGGAUCGAGAAACAUGGGUUAAAUUUUUCCUUAAUAGGGAAAUUUAACUCAUGCUUGGAUUAAGCUAAAAAAUGCAAUCUGUUUUGCUACAUGAUUUCUUAUUAAUCGUAAAAUGGCCAAAAUACUCUUGAAAUACAUAAAAUACUCAGAUUAUAACAAACACACAAAAUCAAAGUUUAAAAGGCUUAAAUACAUAAAAAUAGAAAUGUUAGUGAGACUUGGAGCGCAAAAUAACAAUUUUAUCCUUUACAAAUAUGCAGCACUCAACACCUUGCCAAUAAGAUCUCUUUGCUUUAGUCUAACUAUAAAUGUAAUUAACAAUUCAAAUUAAUUCCUUAUAUUAGUUCAAUCUUGAGAUUUAAGCCUUAAGAUUUAUAAAUCAAUUUCAAAUUAAUAGAAUAAUCAACCAUUCAAAUGAACCUCCAAUUAAUUUAAGAUUUAAUAAUUAAAACCUAACACUAACCUGUUGCUUGAUGAUGAGGCGAUGAAGGCAGCACAGUUGUGGUGAAGUUGUGCUUGUGGUGUCGCAUGAUGCAGACAAGGGGGAUCAGUGGCUAUGGAUUGUGGUGUUGCACAACAAUGUUAAGGCGUAACAAUGAUGGACUUGGUGUGGUUUUGAGCAAUUAUGAUAAGCUAGGUAAUGGCGUCGUGAUGGAGGAAGGGAAGAUUAAGUAUUUUUUUUGGUGGUUGGAUCUUGCAUUUGAUGAAAAGAAAUAAAAGAUUUAAUUUAAUUUUAACUUUUAUAUUUUGAUCAUGCGUAAACUCGAGCCCCUCACAAGUUUGUUAAUGUGUGAUUUGUAGCAUUACAACCGUAAUAUUAUAGUUUCAUUUUUUCACCAACCAUAUUAUCGUAUUAGUCCAAUGCUAUACAGUGUAAAAGUGGACAUUGGGUCAUUUUUGGAAAAAUUUCAGUUCAGUGUCCAUUGUUAAAGAACUAAAAAAAAAGUACUGAAUCGAAGUCAAUGUAUUUAAUUUAUCGAUUCAGUUUUCAAUUCUGAACCUUAUCCCUUUCAGAUUUCAUUAUGCUUUUCAUAAUUUUGCUAUAGCAAGUCAGGAACAAUAAAAAUCAAAUAUCAAAGCAAAUUUUUACAACACCAAAGCUUAACAGCAAGUCAAUAUAAACCAAAAAGGAAACGCAAAGAAAGGUGGACGAGGAAAUCAUGAAGCAACAAUGAACGAAGAGCACAAUUGCAAACAUGAUGGCAGAGGCAGGGGCUGGUGUGGUGUUCGCUGAUGAUAUAUUAUAGUUAGUGGGUUAAACUUUUGAGAUUGAGAUUUGUUAGGCUUUAGAGUUUGUAAUAGAAAAGUGAAUAUGAGGAUUUGAUUUUGGGAACUAGGGGUUUAUAUAAGAGAAGUGAUUUGUGAGGAUUUUGAUUUUGGGGGCUAUGGUUGGUGAUUUCAUUUGUAAGGGUGUAAAGGAUUUGACUUGGGGCUACAAUUUGUGUGUAGAGAAAAUGAAAAAUGAAAAGUUUUCAUUAUUGUUAUGGUGUGUGCAUGUUUAUGGUAGUAACAUGUUGUCACAUGUUAAAAAAUGUCAUAUGACAUUUCUAAAAAAAGUUGAUUUAUCCGGAUUUUCAGUUUAGUUUUAGGAUUUAAAAUUUAGAACAAAAAAUGAAACCAAAACAUUCAGUUAUAAUUUGAAUUGAACCUUCCAAUUUUUUUUUAAUAGUAAGAAAAAGUACUAAAUUAGAACCAAGAAAACUAAGCUGACCAAUGAUUUUUUUCAGUUCUGCUUUAGUUUUCCUUAGCCUCAAUGUAGGGUCCCAAUGCUGAGUAAUGAUGUGUCAAACUCACUCUAAAUACAUAAAAUUUAUGCAUGAGAUUGGAGAAUGGCCAUUAGAGGAUCCCAAUAGUAGCAAAAAGCAAUUUUUCUAAUAGUGUAACUUUUUGGAUGAAGAUUUGUGAGGCUAAGGAUAUGAUGGUGCUAAUAAUAUGCAAGUAGCAUGGAGUUGAUUUUAAUGGUGCAUUUACUAAACGAAAUUGAAAUGGGUAGGAAUCAAAAUGAGGAAUGAGAAUCAGAAUAAAUUGUUUAUUUUAACUGUAGGAAUCAGAAUCGAAAUGAGUUGUAUUGUCAUUGAUGUGUUUAAUUUGUCUUGGAAUUGGAAUAAUAAUGAGUUAGAUUGAUAUAGAUUGCUAAAAGGUCCUUAAUUAACUACUGUCCUAAUAAUUAUUAUUAACAUUAAAAUGAAUUAAUUAAUUAUCACUAAUAAUAAUAAUAAUAAUAAUAAUAAUAAUAAUAAUAAUAAUAAUAAUAAUCAUCAUCAUCAUCAUCAAAAUGAACAUAAUCAUCAUAAACAAUAUCAUCAUUGGCAUCAUCAUCAUCGUUGCAG
Molecule: long non-coding RNA, 4487 nt
Filed under: Citrus x clementina
Lineage: Eukaryota; Viridiplantae; Streptophyta; Magnoliopsida; Sapindales; Rutaceae
Description: Citrus clementina (C. clementina) long non-coding RNA (CCLE_LNC003414)
Source: RNAcentral